Molecule: RNA transcript, 1528 nt
Organism: Diospyros lotus (date-plum)
Lineage: Eukaryota; Viridiplantae; Streptophyta; Magnoliopsida; Ericales; Ebenaceae
Gene name: GEM-like protein 1
Exons: 5
Source: RefSeq, a predicted model, not a curated record
ACAAUCGAUGGGUUUUCAUGGGUUGGUUCGUCAAUAAUAAAAUUAGUUUAGUUAUUUUUUAUUUAUUAGAGUAAAUUCAAGCCAAUGAUUUUUUUUUUUAUCAUUUUUAAAAACAUAAGUGUGAAUGAUUUUUUUUUUAAAUCUUCGAGUCAGAGAGAUUCAGAGUGUCACGGUCAUGUCCAUCUCAAGGGCACGGAUGUCAUUCCAUGUACACGCGGGGGUCGGAUUUGAAGAUCUUUUGAAAUUUCGAACAGGUGUCAUGUGGAUUGCGUGUCGAUAAUUCUUCAAACGUUUUCUUCCCGAACGAUCGAUUUCAAAGCUUCAGUUCAGUCCGGAAGAUUCAUAAGCAAUUUCUCUGUGUCUCUGAUAUCCGAUCGAAAUACUCCGAACGAGUACAAUGAAUCAGGAUUCGAACCAGGCAGAUCAUCAAUCCCGCCGGGGAAAUCCGCAGCCGGAGGCGGAUCAACCGCCGCCCCAGCAGCAGCAGCAUGGCUCUCACACUGGCGACUCCGCUCUGUACCCUAAGCUCGAUCAAGAAGACGUCUCUCUGCCCGCCGAGGAUUGGACUACGGUCUCUGUUUCCUCGGAACCUCCGCCGCCUCCGCCUUAUCCGGCGGCUGAGCAUCUCCCGAGGGAUUCGUCGCAGCAAGUUCCUGCUGCUCCGGUUCAGCAGGAGUCCGCCACCACCAUGCCGCCCGAGUCCAACCCUUAUGUCGCUCCCUCGCCGUUACCGGCCUCUUCCUCCAAGAAUAAGAUGGAUUCGGUUAAGGAUGUGCUAGGGAAAUGGGGAAAGAAGGCGGCGGAGGCAACUAAGAAGGCCGAGGAUCUUGCUGGCAAUAUGUGGCAGCACUUGAAAACGGGUCCCAGUUUCGCUGAUGCUGCAGUUGGAAGAAUUGCUCAGGGAACAAAAGUUCUUGCAGAAGGUGGAAUUGAGAAGGUCUUUCGACAAACUUUUGAGACUGUUCCUGAGGAGAAACUUUUGAAGUCAUAUGCAUGCUACCUCUCAACUUCAGCAGGUCCAGUCAUGGGGAUAUUAUAUUUGUCUACUGCAAAGCUAGGAUUUUGUAGUGACAAUCCCCUUUCUUACAAAGUUGAUGACCAGACUCAAUGGAGCUAUUAUAAGGACAUAUGGAAACUCUGCUUCUGGAACCAUUGGCAUAGAAUGACUUUGUACGGAUACACAUCAAGUUUUGUCUAGCUGGUCCAUUUGAAAUGAAAUUCGAAUGCAAUAAGAGCUCGAGCUCUACAUUAAAUUUUAUGGCCAUCAAGGCAACCAAAGAAAAUACUUCUCUAAGAAGGUGGUCAAGGAAGCAAACUCACUUGAGGUAUUAGGUCCCUGAACAAAUACCAUAUGAGGGGAAUCCAGUCCCCUUGUACCUCUCUCAUGCGGUCAAGUAUAAAAUUAUGUUCCUUUCAAGUUUUCCCCAGGCUUGACAAGGAUAGGAGUUGCUGAGGUCACAUUCUGGCAGAGAACUACCCUGGUCGUCCUCCCCUCUUACCUUUCUAGUUAGCUGCUGCACCCCCCCCC